Molecule: long non-coding RNA, 482 nt
Organism: Chiroxiphia lanceolata (lance-tailed manakin)
Lineage: Eukaryota; Metazoa; Chordata; Aves; Passeriformes; Pipridae
Exons: 5
Source: RefSeq, a predicted model, not a curated record
AAACUGUUAACUAUCUCUGUGUCAGAUUCAUCAGCCUGUGCAGACUGUGUUGGAAGGUGGGAGGGGUAGCCUCCUGGAUCACUCUUGCCAUCUUUAUUAUACAAAACAUGGAACAAAAAGAGCAGAUGGACUGCCAGGAAGAAGGUGGAAGCAUCACUGAGGAAACAGCCUGGAAAGCCAUUUCUGUGAAGGCAUUUGAACAUGAAGAUGGGAAGAAGAGAACCGACUCUACUUUUUGAGAUGGAACUUGAGAAGCAAGUCUUACUAUUUGCAAAGUUGUGUGAUGGAGGUCAUUCACAAGGAUGGCAUGGGGGAGUUUAAAUCUCUUGGAAUUUGACUACACAGCACAUUCCAGCUAUCUGCCCCAGCAGGCCCCUCUAUCAGGACUUGCUGAUUACUACUUAUGCAUUGUUUCAAAGUGAGCCCUUGAAGGCUUUCAUUUAAUACAGAUUAGUACCUUUAUUAAACAGUGGUUAAUUGAA